This 7950-nucleotide long non-coding RNA is filed under the name Chlamydomonas reinhardtii. RNAcentral's name for it is "long non-coding RNA (CREI_LNC001144)". Lineage: Eukaryota; Viridiplantae; Chlorophyta; Chlorophyceae; Chlamydomonadales; Chlamydomonadaceae. The record is from RNAcentral.
UCGUUCUUCAGCUCCAGGCAGAUCUUGCCGCCAUUCGCCUGGUCCUUGCUCCAGUUCAGGGGGGUAGCCUUAACGGUCUGCUCGUCCACAGCGCCCCAGGUGGCGGACAGCCACUUGCCGGUGCCGGUCUUGGGCUGCACGUACACGCCGGUGAUGGCGCGGCGCUUCUUGUCGUCGGCGUAGAACUCGGCCUUGAGCAGGCUGGUGCUCCGGCCGCAGGGGCUGGUGGCGCUGUUGGGGGUCACCAGGGUGAUGCUGAAGCAGUAAGCAGUGGUGUCCUUGGUGCGGCCGGCCAUGCUCGACAUCGCGGGCGCAAUGGCGAAGGGGGUGGCGCCGGGAGUGGUGACGCACUGGCACUUGGGGAAGUCGGGGGUCUGCAGGGCGCAGGCGGCCGAGGCCUGGGCGUUGAUGCACGACUGGGGCAGGCCGGCGACGGCGUCGCCCAUGCCGCCAACAGAGACGACCACGGUGUAUCCGGCCAGGGCGGGGCGGCAGCCCUGAGUCACCAUGUCCAGCCAGAAGUUGAUCUGGGUGUCAACGAAGCUCUGCAGCUUGGCGCCCUCCUCGUUGGAGAAGAAGGUGGCGCACACCAUCACCAGGUUGCCGGCGCAGCUGGUGGACCCAGGGGUCACGGUCACGCCGAGGUCGGAGGCCUGGGUGGCCACGUCGUCCUGAAUGGUGGCGAUGUAGCCCUGGCACUCGUCGUUGCUGAUGGAGUAGGGGAACAGAACGCGGCUGGCGUCGCUAACGGUCAGCGAGAUGUAGACGCAAACCUGGCAAGGAGGAGGGGGGCUGGGGGGAGGAGGGCUCGGGAUGCCGGGCGUGGAGAUAGGGCAGCAGUCGUUCUGGCUGUCGAACAGCGCAGCCGAGCACACACCCUUGGGCAGGCCAGGGGGAGGAAUGCACAGCUCCUCAAGGGUGGUGCAGCCCUUGCCGUUCUUGUUCAUCGACAGGGUGAUGCAAAUCUCAGCACCGUCGCUGGCCAGGCCCAGGCCCAGCUGGGUCAGGACCAGGGUGGUCGAGCCAACGGGGCCAUCGGUGGGCUCGUGGAACGAGACACCGACCUUGGUGGGCACGCCGUUGAUGGUGGCCUUCACCACCUCGCCGAAGACGUCGCACGCCUCGUAGACGUUGAACUGUGUACAUCAAAAUGAGGAACAAACUCAGAGAACUUCUUGAAAAAAGAACUCACACUGUGGGUUGCUGGCUGCUGCGACUUUGAAACCGCGACCCGAUGCGCCGACAACCCACCUCGAUCUUCUUGAGGUCUGCCUUGGAGCAGCAGUAAUCGGUGCAGCCAGCCGGCACCUUGGCGCUCAGCUUGAAGCAGUACUGGUUGUUGCCCUUGGCAACGACAACAUCACCCAGCUUGUAGGCCGAGGGAGACUUCUUGCACUGGCAGUAAGGGAACGAGGUGUACAAGCCCGACUGAGCACCCUGGGCGGCCCUGCAGAUUCAGAACGAAGGGCACACGCGGCACGGAGUUACUGCCAGCGGAGCAAGCGGAGUCUCGGCGACGGGAUAGCCUGCUUGCAACUUGCUGUCAAAUCCGGUGGUGGCGCUACGAUCACUGUUACGCUAUGCUGAAAUCAUGAAAAUAGCCCGAGCAUGCUGUAAGAGCGCCGGUUGCAAGAAGGCCGACCGCAUUCAAGCUGCGCAGCGGACCCACACGACCACUAUUUACGCCGUGAGCGUAAAUGAUUAUCUUUGACUAGAGUCAGCGAUGCUCGUCUAUUCUACAACUCAGGAGCUUCCCGAAGCGACAAAUCUGUGAAACGCGCGGUCUUGCUACUCACGCAAUUGCGGCCGCGAAAAGAACGGAGACUAGAAUGCUGCACCUCAUUGUCACAGAGGUGGUUCAGCUAUAAAGAAAUUGUGAGGCACGCGGGCUUAUCAUGGGGGGCCCGGCUGGUCGAACGAGUCGUACGCCCGCCAUUAACCGCGGGCGCGUUAGUUUGGCGUGCGAUGCAAUCAUUCAUGCAACCGCGCCACUUCGACAGUGCCGGAAACAACUUUUAUUUUUGUGGGUAUGCAUCCGGCUAUUCGGUAGGACAGCAGCUGCGUUACGCUCAAACUCGGGCAAACAAUUGGGCUAGCGGCGUGAGCUUGCACCUCACAACUAUCAUCACACAAGUUAUUUAGAUACUGGCCUACCUUGGGCCAUCUCCAAAACUGCCUGUCCAGCCCGGGAGCGGCGGAGCUGUUUCGCCCGCGGUUUGGAGUGGCUUUACUCGUGCCGACGCAAGUCCUUGAUUUUUGCAUUAUAAAAAAAUUAUAGAGUACAGCUAUAGCAACCAACUUGGCAAUGGAGCUGCUGGCAUGGUCCAAACGCGGGAAGCUGGCGCCUUCUAGGCUCUUUGGAGCCCUGUCGGCUUCACAAGUGGCUGAUGCUCAAGUUGUGCAUCGCUUUGGCCGGACAAAUGUCUCCUAGUAACCCGGUUCACAAGCGAAGCGUGAAACGAAAGCAAAGGAUGCUGCGCGCCGGAAGCGAAACGUUCGAUGCACCUAAUUGGGCGCCAAGCGCGGAACCUUGCAGUCUCAGAUGCGUGUGUGCAUGGAAGGAGAAGGCUGGCGGAGGCGAGAGGAGCGGGGGCAGGGAUUGGCUUUCGUGGGGGGGGCGGGGCAAGUGGCGCGGGCGGGGCUGGGGGGGCGAAGAACGGUGAAGACCGGUGCGAUGGCACAGGGUAAGGGGCAGGUUGGCGUAGUCCCGAGUCCCGAGAAACAACUUACGCCCAACCCAGGCGCCAAUGAAACAGGUGAAGAGCUUGAGGACCCCCCUCCCGCUGUCCGGGCCUUACACACAAGCAGGCCAAGUGCGGGGGGAGCCGUAGCGCACACCAUAUACCGUACUGUCACUGUGCUCGAUUUCGUCGCUAGUGACGCCCCUGCUGGCUAGGGUAGCAAGGGUAAUGGGGGUGAACGAGCCGGUUGCUUAGGCUGUGCCAGCUUUCCCCGGGUUUCAUUGGGGUCACACACUUCACUGAUGCACAACUUUCAGAGCCAGGGGGCUGCAUCCUCCGGCAAGCAGACGCCAGGAGGGUGUCCCUGGCCGCAUGCGCUGGGUCCUGGAGUCUACGGUACGCGUUGCCGCACGCGUCGGUUGGCCAUCCAUUCCCCAUCCUUAGACACAAUGACUGUGUCAUGUGUGCACGUUGCGCUUUAGGCUCGGCCAGCGGCACCCUGGGUUGGGUGUGUGAUGGGUUGGGUCUCGGUUUGAGAGGUGUGACCCUUGCAGAAAGCAGGACUCUCCACACUCCCCUCCCGUGCUGUGCAUGUAUGUUCCUGCAUGCACGUGUGUGUAUGAAGUGAAUGGCUCAGCCAACGGCUGUGUGUGCAUGUGGCCCGCGUAAAAUGCAAUUUACCAGUGAUGGGCACUUCUAUCAGGGAGGGGUAGGAAACAAAGUGCCAGACCCCAUGCCCCGAAAUCCCCCGGGACCCCCCUUGAGGGGACGACCGACCCCCCGACGGACAAAACCUUGUUGUUCAGCGGUUAAAACCCCUCCAUUUAAUACCAAAGUAGUGUCAAUCGACUCCUCUUGACGAGCACUAUCACUCCGUGCCAUCAGCGGUCCUGUUCUGAGACUUCGGUCACGGGCGGGAUCCUAUCCAUGGAAAUCCCCUCGACCCAGACCACCCCGCGCUCAACUCUUUGCCGCGUGACGAAUGGACAAUGUGCAUCGGCAGCCUUGUUAGACGUGAACUCAUGCGCAUCAGCGCUUCAGAGCCCAGCUGUGUCAGUGCGCAUAUGUUGAAUGUGGAGACAUGUCCCGACAUGUCCACGUCCGGACGCGCAACUUAGCCCUCCCACGCUUUGUUUGUGCUUAUUACGUCAUAACGUACACAUAUGAGCCUCGCACUGCUGCGUUUGGCCCCUAGUUCUGCUUGUGGGGCGCUUCCCGAAAUCCGCCAGGAUGGGCUCCCGAAACCCGACGGACCCCCAGGGACGAGGACCGACCCCCAACUUUGGCGGCCCAGAACUUCCUCACCAGACCCCCCUUUAAAAAACUAAAAGUACGUGCAUAAUGCUCUCCUGAAGCUCUCUAAUAUUGAGCAUGGGGUAAGAACCUGAGCUUUCUAACCCCCCCCUGCCAUGGCGGCCACAAUGCCAAGAUGCUACCUGGCGGCGCCACGCACAGCAGAGCCCUGUGCUCCGCAAGGAUGCACACGUGCACACACGCACACACAUGUGCGAACACACGUGCACCUGCCCUCCAUGCCACUCGCCCCGCCCCUUCCCCCUUCCCUCACCUCAGUUAUGGCUGACUGGAUGCGGUUGAUCUCAAACAGCCGGCUGCGCCCCUCCUGGGAGCCGCCGCCGCCGCCGCCAGACAGGAGGUCUGGAGUGCGUGUGAGGAAGGGGAGGGGGGGGAUGUGCCCGAGCCCGAGGUCUCAAGCGUCAAGGAAUUGUUUCCAAACCAGGGGGAGGAAGCGGUAGGGGGGCGCGAAGUGUGAUGUUUGUCGGGGUAAGGUGUGAGGCAUUGGGCAUGGAGCGUAAGGCGGGCAUCAAGGCGGGUAGGGUGUCGGCCUGUGCGCUGUCACCCAAGCCACGGGCGCACCGUUAGCACGCACGCACGCGCACACGCUCACACUACGCACCUGCGGCCGCCUCCUGCCCCUUGCUGGUGGCGCCGCUCCCGCCGCCGCCCCCACCUGCACCCCCAGCAGCCGCCCCGCCCGGCACCGGAGCGCUCACCACCACCUGCGCCUCCGCCGCACCCUCCACCGCUGACUCUGCUCCUGCUCCCCCUCCUGCUGCGGAUGCUUCCGCUGGUAGCUGCACCACUGGCGUGUGCCGUGGAUGCGGUGGGUGCGGCGCCGCCAAGCCAGUCACCGCCGCCACCACCGGCGCCAGCGCCGCCGCCACGGCAGCCGCCGGCUCCCCUCCCGAAAUCCGCCAGACACCCCCUUAAAAAGUUAAAAGUACGUGCAUAAUGCUCUCCUAAAGCUCUGUAAUUUUGAGCAUGGGGUAAGAAACUGAGCUUUCUACCCCCCCCCUGCUUCUAUCAACCGGUUGUGCUUUCGGGGUUACAUGGAAGAGAUUAGGCUGGUGGGGCACAGUGGUGCACGGUGACAGAGACAGCCUUUCUUCCCUGUCUGGGUCAGGGGACAGGUUGUGCCGCCCUCGAGUCCGAAUCAAAUCGUUCUUUGCAGCAUCCCUCUUCAGGAUGCUGAGUGGAGUUGGUGUCGGUAGUAAAGGCCAAGCCCAACGCCCAUUGCGGCAGGGCCCAGGUGUGGGCGGAACGCCCGCCAAGAUGAGACACGAUGAGAGGCACGGCCGAUCGCGCCGAGUUAAGCCAUCACCACGCCCAGUGUUCCGGCCGGUUGUAACAGAUCAACUGUUACGAUCCCUGUUCGAGACAGGGCUGGGCCCUAACUUAUGCCUCUUACGAGUCUUCUAGUGAAUACGCGGUCACCCAAGUCUCAUCCGUUGGACAUCUCCAACCCCUUGCCAGGCUCUACAGUGAGUUAUGUCCGGGGUGGGCUAGGUACUGCUACCCCAGGGGAGAGCCUUCCCUGGCAGAGCCCAGGCCCUGCCGUAUUCCUUACCGGGUCGCACACCCACCGAAGUACCGAACCACGCGUCACGGUCUGGGAAUCAGCUGCACCCUACGGGACUUCACCAACCUGCCUUAACACUGUCCCAUACCACGCGUUACGUUUCUCCACGAUCCGCGGAACGGCGGAAACACGUAUUGACAUGUGUACACCCGCAAGGAGACCGCGGGUGGGUGAGAAUACUGCGCCUGCGCCUGAGAGCCCCGGGGCAAGCUGUCUCAUCCCCGAACGUAGAACUCAUAGAGUGCAGUCUGUGCAAAAGGGAAAGCGAGAUGCAAAGGACGAAGCAGGAGUCGUGUGACGCGUUAGCGUGGAUAAACGCCUGGCGGAUGAGAUCGGACAUGGCAACUUGGAAAUGGGCAGGUUGGUGUUAGUCCUGUGGACCUGAUAUACCCGAGCCGGUUGAGGGCCUCAUGUGCAAAACCGCCAGCGCCGGUCUGCUGGCCUUAUCUGGGUACACGCAGUACCGGUGCGGUAGCUGACGAUGCCAGCGUUAUUGACGAGUGUUGCGGAACUAAUGCGUACGUAGACCAGAGCGGAAGGCGGAGUGGGCUUGCAGGCGGCACGAGAGUAGGCAGUCAGUAGCGCAAGUUGCGAAUUCACAUGUUACCUCGUAACCGACGGUAAACGCUGCGGACGGUCGCGCCCAUGGCUGGCUGACGGAAGGUGGCUGCUGUAUUGGGAUGGCUGGGCUGGACGACGCCGGCCGGGCUGGCGUGCACGAUGUGCACAAACCGUUCCGCCUGCAGAUUGCAGAAAGCCCUGACGCCAGCUGCGCAUCCUGACGGAUGACACGUUGGGGGCUGUCACUCAGCUGCUGACUCGGGACCACCGUGCUGUCCCCUGCCGCAGUUACCGCCGCAGCCUGGCUGGCAUUCAACUUAUGUUGAAAAUUAUAUCAAUAUGACGCGUUCGUACUGUGCCCCCAAACCGGUUUACAGGGGCAACAGGCAAUAGCCCUGCGCACAAACUCCUGCUUCUCACCAGAGCUUUCGCCGUUAUGCACGGCCACGGGAACAAUGGUCCCGGCCAACCACAUCUAUGAACCGUGUCCGUUAGCCUCUCCUGAGGCUUGUAACCGGAACGCGGCUCCGCUGAUUGCAGUCCCAGGAUGACGCUAACCUAAGCAAACAGUCAAUGCGCAUGAUCAUUUACACACACGAGUGCUCUUAUGUACUGCCCAUAUUAAACACAGUCGAGUUGUGGAUCAGUUGCACGAUUCACCGCGCCAGCCCUCGCGGCGGUGCUUCACGCAAUCCGCAUUCAGCUGGUGGCGAGUCGCCAAGCCGCCCCCAACAAAACCCGCACCGCACCAAGUGCCAUGCCGUUUAGACACACGCGCACAACACUAAUCCUGCGAGGCAGUGAUCUCAUCUGUCACUUUGUCAACUACCCAAUCAAGCCAUUUUUCCGAACCCAAUUCAAAACACGCGCCCACGGGCGAAGCUGUGCGCCGUGGCUGUAGCGGCUGCUGCCUCUGCUGCCAACGCCUCACAAAAUCCACCCGUGGCCGUCUGCCACAUAAGCUCCAGCGGUCACCAGCUAUGCUCCGUGCCAGCUCGCGAUAUUGCCAGGCCGUGUGGCCGCAGCAGCUGUUUGCACAGCUGCCGCGAAGCAAGUCCGCUGCCACAAGAACUCAAACAGGGUGGGUCAGCCGCGCGGCUUCCAAGCGGCUUCCACCUUGUGUGUAUGGACACGCGACGCCUCGGCUGCUGCGGGCUGUGCCAUUUACGGCAGGCUCGCCUGGUACAGCGGGCAGCUGCGGGCAAGACACGGGAGGGGUGAGGAAUGGCGGUCAGAUACGUGACAACGUCGAGGCAGAUGUCCGCGGGGAAGUCCGUGGGCGAAGCCUAUUGAUUUAGAUCCCGCAAGACAACCCACAUUGGCAAGUACGUUGUUGCGAGCGUGUCAAUGCAAACCCAACUCACCAGUUCUUGCUGUCGUCGAACAAGUUGCCGUAGCACGAGCCGCCGGGCGCGGGCAGGCAGAAGUCCGACAGGGGGGUGUCGUUCUUCAGCUCCAGGCAGAUAGUACCGCCAUUCGCCUGGUCCUUGCUCCAGUUCAGGGGGGUAGCCUUGACGGUCUGCUCGUCCACAGCGCCCCAGGUGGCGGACAGCCACUUGCCGGUGCCGGUCUUGGGCUGCACGUACACGCCGGUGAUGGCGCGGCGCUUCUUGUCGUCGGCGUAGAACUCGGCCUUGAGCAGGCUGGUGCUCCGGCCGCAGGGGCUGGUGGCGCUGUUGGGGGUCACAAGGGUGAUGCUGAAGCAGUAAGAGGUGGUGUCCUUGGUGCGGCCGGCCAUAGUGGAAAUGACGGGCGUGAAGGCGAAGGGGGUGGCGCCGGGCGUGGUGACGCAAGCGCACUUGGGGAAGUCCACAGGCUCGGGGGCGCAGG